Long non-coding RNA from Ictidomys tridecemlineatus (thirteen-lined ground squirrel), 723 nucleotides. RefSeq lists it as uncharacterized. Lineage: Eukaryota; Metazoa; Chordata; Mammalia; Rodentia; Sciuridae. The record is from RefSeq and is a predicted model, not a curated record.
UCAUAAUUGAACACCUGUGACUUAAAGGACUCCAUGGCUAGUGCUGGGUCUCAACUUGGGUAAACAAGAGCACUAGGCCCUUACUACUAGAAACACAUAUUCUACAGUGCUGUGGACCAAACUGUGUCACCCUCAAAAUUUAUAUGUUGAAGUCCUAAUUUCCAAUAUGGCUGUAUUUGGAGAUGGGGAUGAGAAGGAGGUGCUAAAGGUCAAUGAGGAUGAAGGGUGGAAUCCUAAUCUGAUAGGCCUGGAGCCCUUGAAAGAAGAGAAGAGACAGCUCUCUUUCCAUCAUGUGAGGACACAACAUAGCAGGAGGGGUCUGUCUGCAAGCCAGGAAGAUGUUCUUGCUAAGAAGUGAAUUGGGUCAGCACUUUGAUUUGGAACUUUCCAGUCUCCAGAACUUGAUAUGGUCAAGAAUUACAGCAUUGCAUAAGGAUAUGAGGAAGAACAUUUUCCUGUCUGUCCUUCUUCACCAGCCAACACUUAGACUGGUGAACACCCUUGCAAAUCCACACGUGAUAGGCUGAUGCGUUCAACACUCAGAGCAAGAGUUUCUUAGCCUCACCCUGCACCACCUGAUGCCUCAGCACAAAAUACCCCAAGAAAGGGCAAAUUGGACAACAUUAUCAUUUUUCCUACAACGUCAGAAGAAAGAAUGGAAAAGUGAGAUUUGCAUGAGAGAUUCAUUCUGGUUUUAUGUUUCAUAUGAAAUGUUUUACCUUC